This 2020-nucleotide long non-coding RNA is filed under the name Panax ginseng (ginseng). RNAcentral's name for it is "long non-coding RNA (PGIN_LNC004802)". Lineage: Eukaryota; Viridiplantae; Streptophyta; Magnoliopsida; Apiales; Araliaceae. The record is from RNAcentral.
UAAUUAUUCAGCAGUCUAUUCUGAGAGCUGCCCGAGGGGGUACCACGGGAGGGUUACCCCACCCAUCUCUCAUUUGUGCUUUAUGUUCUAAGUUUGGGGUCAAAUGGAAGUCGGAUGAAAUGAUUCAGCCCCCAAUGCCAGUUUUGGACCACAAAAUGAUAAUCAGAUAUCGGGUGUGGACUAGUGGAGCAAAUCACCCACAUGGAUUGGGCUUUAUAAUUCCUCAAGCCGCUGCUCCACUUAGUCCACCAGCUCCUGCUCCACCUAGUUAUGGUUCCUCCUCUGCUGCUAAAUGUGGUGUUGUUCCCGAUGCGGUUCAGCGAGAAAUAGACGGUUGGUUCUACAAUAUUGAAUCCCAGAAUGUUCGCUUGUCUAAACGUCAAGAUGUGAUCUACAAGUUUUUAGUCGACUACUUCAACGCCCAGACUGUUAUGUAUGCUCAGCUGUACCCUGGAGGUAAUCUUGCAUUUAGGAUGUCACAUAAUUCCAGCUGUUUAAUAGUUUAAGUAUAUUCGGGGCCAAUGAUGAAACUAAAAUUGCAUAAACAAGUCUAGUAAGGAUUAUUAAGCUUGUGAUGUGCUUUCUUGACAUGAUUUAAAUCUUUAUCUGUUUAAAACUGAUAUUAUCAUGAUAGCACAUGUUAAGAAAUGAUCAUGUUGGCUGAGUAAGUUUAAAUUGAUAGAUAAUAGAUUUCUAAAGGAUAAAUGCUAGUUGAAUGAAAGAAUAACAUGAAUAGCUAGUGAUGGCUGAAGUUUGACAUGAAUUUAAGUUUGGGGGAAAAUAUUUGGAGUAUAUAAGCUUUGAAAAAAAAAGUGGCUAGUUUUGUUUCGGGGCCUUUGUUACUUGAGCAAGUAAGCCCGAGGGAGUGUCUCUACACCUAGCGCCCUAAGGUAUUAUAUGGUCUGGGAGUCGUUGGUCGAAAGGUCGCUAAGGGGUAGCAUUGUUAGCCUAAUGGAAUGAGGUAUUGCACAGUCAUGAAAAUAUAUAUAUAUAUAUAUAUAAUGAAUAAAAUGGGAAAAAGUGCAAAAAGCCCUUGUUAGAAAAGAUAAAUGAAAAUAAAGCAUAAGUAUUCCAUUUUGAUCCCUGGACUUUGGUAAUUGUUUGAUUUUAGCCGAAUCUAGUUUAUUUGAGGAGUUCUCGAGUUUACAUUGUAUGAUGCCUUCUAAGAAAUCUAUUAUGUUUCGUAUUUUUCUUUUCAUCAGUUAGCAUGGUUGUUGAACACACACACACGAUAUCAUUAAUAACAGGUUUAGAUUUGAUGAUUGUUGGGAUAAUAUUGAUCUAUCUUGAUAUGAUGUACUAGCAUGUUAUUGUGAUUUUUCUGAGGCCUGAUGAGUAUACUGUGUUCUGUUUGAUUGCUGGAAUUACAAACAUGUAGAUAGUUAUAUGUGCAUUUGCAUGGUAUAUUUAGUUUUUCUUGUUGCAUUAUGUUUUCUUGCUUGAGGAUAAUCAACGAUUUAAGUUUGGGGGUAUUUGAUGAAUGGGUAAUAUACCCAUGAAUUGGAUACACUUGGGUUUAAAUUAUUGUAUUCUCAAGUCUUUUAGAAGAAUUUUUACUGUGUUUUUUAUUAUUUUGCAGAUUGAGGAGAUGCAGGGACAAAUUGGGGAUUUGAGCUAUUUAACGGCAAAAUCAUAAUUUAACUGAAUAGUAGCGCUGGGGCGCUCUAACUGGAGUAAUGCUCAGCGUCGGGGCGUUGAGGCUUGACUGGGUGUGGCUAGGGCGCGUGCAUAGGGAAGAGUUUGACUUGGAUUAGGAUUAUGGACAGAUGGAAAAGAGUAUUUAAAGAAACAAUCAGCUGAAAGUAAGGGGGAUGUUCAAGCAUAGCUGAAGAUUAAUCAAGGAUUAGCAGGAGAUUGUGGAGAAGAAUUCCAAUUGAAGAUUGAAGCUUGGGAGAUUUUCUUUUAGAGUUUCUUCUUCUUAUUAUUUUUAAUUGUGUAAUUCUUUCAAGAUGAUUUUCAUAAGAUUGUUGGUUUUAUUUUUCGUUAUGAACUAAUUCUUUUAUUAAGACUACAAAUUGAA